CUGCAUAAUUUCAAUAAAACGCCGUUUUAAACGCCGUUACAGCUGGCACAGAACGCCGUAAAAAACGCCGUCUUUAUGCAUCUUUGAACGGCGUUUUCUGCCGAGUGGCGUAAAAAACGGCGUUUCCGUGUGUCUUUGAACGCCGCUUUUUACGUCACUCGGAUGGUGCGUUCAGGGCGCCAUGUGAGAGUCGGAAAAAACGGCGUUUGUCGAAACAGAACGCCGUUUUUUUCGGCGUUUUGAAUAAUUAAACGGCGUUUUUUACGCCGUUUCUUAAUCAAACGGGUUAGAAAAGUGGCGAAUUUUGGCACUAAUGGCUUGCCAUAGAUUUGCGUCGCGAAAACGCCAAAACGCCUGAAACGCGCGUCAGUGUAGCGCGUGGGGCGCGUUUGACUCGCGAAAAAAACCACGCGCGUGAAUUUUUGUGUUGCAUUUUGUGCAUACGCGUGUUUCGCCUCUGCUGCUCGAGUUGGAAAAUCUGAACUCCAGCGUCAAAUCGCGCCGCGACAACCAAUCAGGAGCCUGGUGACGUGGCUGUGACCUAGGUCAAAGGGGCAGAUCCAGCCAAAGCCCUUCAUUCUUUAAUGGAGGGAAGGCUAAUCAACGCCGUAGCAAACAACCCGGAGCUGUACGACACCAGCUGCUUUGUGUACCGAGACAGGAAUAUAAAGGACCGAGCUUGGAGGAAGAUAUGUGAAGAGAUCGGGCAACCUGAACCAACUGAUUCUGCAGCAGAGCAUCCCCUGUUGCUUCUCCUUGCUCCCCAGUCCCUGAGCUCCUGCUGCUGCACCCACAGGCCCAGAGAGGAGGACAGCUCCGAGGCAGAUGAGGGACGGGUCCCAGGACGGUCCAUCGGUGGUGGAGCUGGCCAUCCUGGUGUCCCUGAAGAGGCCACGCCAGUCUGCAAUGGAGCAUUUCCUCCUCAGCCUUGUUCCUGCUCUGGAGAGCAGCUGGGUCCUUUUUAUUCCUGUCUCUGUAAAUACUUAUAUUUUAUAUAUUUAUGUUUAAUGUUUUUCUGUUUGAGAAUUUUAAUAUUAUUUCAAAUAAAUUUUUAUAAUGACUAAUGUCUCAGUUCUACUACACUGCAAAUGUUGGCACACGACUUGACACAUGUAGAAUUUAUUUCAUAUUAUACUAAUGACAAAAUAUACUAAUACAGUGGGAUGCAAAAGUUUGGGCAACCUUGUUAAUAGCCAUUAUUUUCCUGUAUAAAUCGUUGGUUGUUACAAUAAAAAAUGUCAGUUAAAUAUAUCAUACAGGAGACACACACAGUGAUAUUUGUGUUAAAUGUGAUAAAUCAAGCAGGUGCAUAAAUUUGGGCACCACAAAAAAAGAAAUGGAAUAAAUAUUUAGUGUAUAUCAAUGUGUGUGUCUCCUAUGUGAUAUAUGGGGUGCCUUUGUCUGGACGUGCUUCCCAUCCAGAGCUCCACAGCAGAGAGGGAAGUUCCAGCACUCCUGGAAUCCCUCUGUGAUGGACCGCC
Oreochromis aureus is the source of this 1481-nucleotide long non-coding RNA. NCBI's taxonomy places the organism in Eukaryota, Metazoa, Chordata, Actinopteri, Cichliformes, Cichlidae. The record is from Ensembl.